CUGGAAGCGGAGCUCCGCGCUGGGACUGGUUCCUUCGCAGCCAUUUUCUGUCCAACCAAACAGCCGAUUGGAGACGGGAGCCAACCAGGGCUGCAUUGGAGGUUGAGAUCACAAAUAUUAGACACCUUUUUAGAUAGGUGUUCUUCAGCAUCACUGACAACACGGUUCUGACAGUAUUUCAUGACAGUUAUGUAACAUUUGUCCUGCAAGCUGAGGACAGAGACCUUGUCUGUUGUUGACAGCUACGUGACCAGCACAUAGCAUGGACCUGGUAAAUACUAAGCGCUCACUCAGUAAAUAUUUGUUGGCUGGCUUACUGAUAAUCUACAGUCUGUUUUAUAAAUUUUUAUAGGAUGUUUUAGACCUAGAAAAAACCUUUGGGAUGCAUCUAGCAAGUUUUUUUCCAUCAUUAUAGGCAAAUGGCUGGCAUAUUCUAAGCAUCAAAGAUUAGGUUGACUUAUUGAGUGAAAGGUACUAAGUGCCAUAGAGCUUUAAAGAACAGAACAUUUGUUUUUGAAUUGCAGAAAGGAUAAAUCAGAAAGAUUAAAGGAGGAUAGAGAACACUGGGAUUAAAGUCUGGGGCAGGAUUUUAAUGGUAGAAAGAUAGAGGAAAGGAAGACAGAAGGUGUGAAAUGAUAGAAAGCUAAAACUUGCGGAACCGAAGACACAUACAGUUAAGCAGAUGAUGUGCGGCUUCUCUUCAAAGGAGGGAGGAUGAGAUCGAAUGUCUAUGGGGUACACUACGUGCCAAACACUGUCUUUAGCAGCUUUCUAGUCUUUAUUUAAUUCUGACAACUCUAGGAAAUACUUUUAUCUUCACUUUUAGAAGACUGAGGUUUAGAGAGGCUAAUGCUGUUAGUCCAAAUGAUAAUCUUGUUGCUAAUUC
Molecule: small RNA, 886 nt
Filed under: Pongo abelii (Sumatran orangutan)
Lineage: Eukaryota; Metazoa; Chordata; Mammalia; Primates; Hominidae
Description: retained intron
Source: RNAcentral